AGUGAACGCUGGCGGUAGGCCUAACACAUGCAAGUCGAACGGCAGCACAGAGGAGCUCGCUCCUUGGGUGGCGAGUGGCGGACGGGUGAGGAAUACAUCGGAAUCCACUCUGUCGUGGGGGAUAACGUAGGGAAACUUACGCUAAUACCGCAUGCGACCUACGGGUGAAAGCAGGGGAUCUUCGGACCUUGCGCGAUUGAAUGAGCCGAUGUCGGAUUAGCUAGUUGGCGGGGUAAAGGCCCACCAAGGCGACGAUCCGUAGCUGGUCUGAGAGGAUGAUCAGCCACACUGGAACUGAGACACGGUCCAGACUCCUACGGGAGGCAGCAGUGGGGAAUAUUGGACAAUGGGCGCAAGCCUGAUCCAGCCAUACCGCGUGGGUGAAGAAGGCCUUCGGGUUGUAAAGCCCUUUUGUUGGGAAAGAAAUCCAUCUGGUUAAUACCCGGGUGGGAUGACGGUACCCAAAGAAUAAGCACCGGCUAACUUCGUGCCAGCAGCCGCGGUAA
This 506-nucleotide ribosomal RNA is filed under the name uncultured bacterium. RNAcentral describes it as "partial 16S ribosomal RNA". It matches the Rfam family "Bacterial small subunit ribosomal RNA", at positions 29 to 523 of the family's 1533-position model. The record is from RNAcentral.